This 433-nucleotide ribosomal RNA is filed under the name uncultured bacterium. Its description in RNAcentral is "partial 16S ribosomal RNA". It matches the Rfam family "Bacterial small subunit ribosomal RNA", at positions 29 to 507 of the family's 1533-position model. The record is from RNAcentral.
AACGAACGCUGGCGGCAUGCCUAACACAUGCAAGUCGAACGAGACCUUCGGGUUUAGUGGCGCACGUGUGCGUAACGCGUGGGAACCUGCCCUUAGGUUCGGAAUCACUCCCCGUAAGGGGUGCUCAUACCGGAUAAUGUCUUCGGACCAAAGAUUUAUCGCCUUUGGAUGGGCCCGCGUUGGAUUAGCUGGUUGGUAGGGUAAAAGCCUACCAAGGCGACGAUCCAUAGCUGGUCUGAGAGGAUGAUCAGCCACACUGGGACUGAGACACGGCCCAGACUCCUACGGGAGGCAGCAGUGGGGAAUAUUGGACAAUGGGCGAAAGCCUGAUCCAGCAAUGCCGCGUGAGUGAUGAAGGCCUUAGGGUUGUAAAGCUCUUUUACCCGGGAUGAUAAUGACAGUACCGGGAGAAUAAGCUCCGGCUAACUCCGUG